GAAAACAUGCAUGUGGCAUGAUUCCAAUUACACAAUCUGAAGAAAUUCAAAACUAUAGAUAGGGAGAGUAAACAGAUUGGCAGCUUGGGACUGGGGUUGUUGAGUCAGUAAAGCACUUGGGAUAUUUUACUGCAGUGAAACUAUUCUGAUACUGUAAAGGUGAAUUGAGAUUUGAAACAUUUGUCUAAGUCCACAGAACUUUACAGCACAAGCACACGUUAAUUACAAAGAUAAUUUAGGAGGAGCCGUGAGGAGCUGAGCUUUGAGGGCCGCCCACAGCCAGUACCUGGAUCCUCACAGCAGAGGGAAAGGGAGUCAGAAAGGUCAUUGUUCUGAGAUCUAGAAGAUAGAGCAGAAGUGAACAACAGAAAGAGGGCCUCUCUGAGGCUCCUUGAUGAAAAUUGAAGCCCACUGGAAAAAGUGAAGAAAAUCUCUUGCAAUUAAGGCACACCAGGCCACCAUAGUUGUAUCAGGAGGGACAACACUCAAAGGCACCUGUGGGCAUGCUGCAGAUGGGAAGCAGCUCUGGAGCCCAUGCUGGCCUGCCUGGAGAACAGGGGUGUGCUGUGGGAGUGAUAACAUGAACUGUUCAUUUGCAUUUCCUGCUUGGCACCCAC
RNAcentral lists this long non-coding RNA (617 nucleotides) under Fukomys damarensis (Damara mole-rat). RNAcentral's name for it is "lncRNA (ENSFDAG00000026255.1)". The record is from RNAcentral. Lineage: Eukaryota; Metazoa; Chordata; Mammalia; Rodentia; Bathyergidae.